RNAcentral lists this ribosomal RNA (460 nucleotides) under uncultured bacterium. Its description in RNAcentral is "partial 16S ribosomal RNA". It matches the Rfam family "Bacterial small subunit ribosomal RNA", at positions 338 to 795 of the family's 1533-position model. The record is from RNAcentral.
CCUACGGGUGGCAGCAGUGAGGAAUAUUGGUCAAUGGGCGGGAGCCUGAACCAGCCAAGUCGCGUGAAGGAUGACUGUACAGCGGGUUGUCAACUUCUUUUGUAAGGGAAUAAAGUGAGGCACGUGUGCCUUUUUGUAUGUACUUGAUGAAUAAGGAUCGGCUAACUCCGUGCCAGCAGCCGCGGUAAUACGGAAGAUGCGAGCGUUAUCCGGAUGUAUUGGGUUUAAAGGGUGCGUAGACGGGUUGUUAAGGCAGCUGUGAAAGUUUGUGGCUCAACCGUAAAAUUGCAAUUGAUACUGGCAGUCUUGAGUACGAGUGAGGUAGGCGGAAUGCGUGGUGUAGCGGUGAAAUGCUUAGAUAUCACGAAGAACUCCGAUUGCGAAGGCAGCUUACUAAACUGCCACUGACACUGAUGCACGAAAGUGUGGGUAUCAAACAGGAUUAGAUACCCCUGUAGUC